Molecule: ribosomal RNA, 553 nt
Filed under: uncultured bacterium
Lineage: Bacteria
Description: bacterial SSU rRNA
Rfam family: Bacterial small subunit ribosomal RNA
Source: RNAcentral
GUGCGUAGGCGGGCAGGUAAGUCAGUGGUGAAAUCCCCGAGCUUAACUCGGGAACUGCCAUUGAUACUAUCUGUCUUGAAUAUUGUGGAGGUGAGCGGAAUAUGUCAUGUAGCGGUGAAAUGCUUAGAGAUGACAUAGAACACCAAUUGCGAAGGCAGCUCACUACGCAUAUAUUGACGCUGAGGCACGAAAGCGUGGGGAUCAAACAGGAUUAGAUACCCUGGUAGUCCACGCCCUAAACGAUGCAUAUUUGGUGUGGGUCAUUCAGUUGAUCCGUGCCGGAGCUAACGCGUUAAAUAUGCCGCCUGGGGAGUACAGUCGCAAGGCUGAAACUCAAAGGAAUUGACGGGGGCCCGCACAAGCGGUGGAGCAUGUGGUUUAAUUCGACGCAACGCGAAGAACCUUACCAGCCCUUGACAUGUCCCGUGUGGGGUCGAGAGAUCGGCUUCUUCAGUUCGGCUGGCGGGAACACAGGUGCUGCAUGGCUGUCGUCAGCUCGUGUCGUGAGAUGUUGGGUUAAGUCCCGCAACGAGCGCAACCCCCAUCUUCAGUU